CCUCAGAGGAGUAAGGCCCUGCGCCCACCCCAUCCCUUCCUGUAUCCAGAGCUCUUUCUGUCAAGCAUCCGCCCCCUACCUGGGAUCCUCCUGCUUUUCUCACACCUGUGCCCUUCAAGAACCAGCCUGAGUCAUUUUUCUGGGAGGCUCAUCCUCAGGCUCCUGAUGAGGUGGGUGUCCCUUGCCCAGGUUCCCAACCCCUUGUGCAUAAUUCUCAUUAUGCCAUACUGUCAACCUUUCUUUCCUGAUUUCCCUUCCCCAUGGAACCACAGAAUCCUUGCAGGUAAGGAUUUGUCUUUCAUCUCUAUUUCUAGGGCAUCUGUUACCCUGCCGGGCAGAGUAGGAGGUCAAGAAAUAUUUGGAUAAAUAAACUACUCAGCCCGUGUUAUUGUCCAAUCAACCCACCUUCCCCCCCUCCAAAUUCCGUGUCUCCCAGAAUUCAGGUAAUACUAAUAAACCCUAAAUGCAGGCAAGGUUAAAUGCAACUCAACCAAAAUUCAAGUUCCAUAAAAAUCCAUGCAAAAGAUUUUGACAGAAUUCGGAAUGCUUCCAACAUACUUUUUUUUUUUUUAAGUUAGAAAUGCACUGCCAGGGAUCCCAGUCCAUGGAAAUGGAGGGAGAAGCAGACCCUAUAUUCCAAGUGAGAUAAGAGCGUGUCAACAGGGGAAUGCAGUGCAGCUGUGUCUAAGGAUCUAACCACCAGCGUCUCCAGCAAGUUAUAUGAAUCUAAAGUGAAAAGACAAACGUAUUGCGCUCAAUAUGUUCCUCCAAGCACAUUCAAUACUGGGGAAAUUUAAAAAACAGAUUCUUUCCUUGAACUGAUAAUGAACAGGAAGCAGAGUUCUAGACGCCCAUAACAAGUGCUAUUUCCCAGCAGAGCCAAGGAGCCCCUGGAGGAGGGCCAAGCCACAGAUAGAUGGUGCUCUCAGCCGGCAGCCAGCUCGGGACUCUGCCCACUGGGGCUUUGGCUUUGGGGGUAGGUGCUCCCACGUCACGAAGCUCCCCUUGCUUUGGGGGCACGUUGUUGUGUAGUGGAUGUCCUGCCCAAGAGACGGUUCCAAACAGCCAGGUGUACUACAUUUUUUUGUGAGAGUCUGACUUACAUGUUUUCUAACUCUUCCCUCGAAUAGCUAAGCUUAAGCGAAUAUCAAUAAGUAUAAAAGCAGAGAAUACACUAAGAGCAAAGGGUAAAUGUAACACUGGUGGGGUGGGUGUCCUCAUGACCUCUUCACUGAGCGCAGUCCCUCCCUUCUGCCAGUACUCAGCUUUAACGAAGGAGCCUCGGACCCUCCCCCCUCCCACCUGGCACGCUUUAGGUCCAACUUGGUCCAUGCAAACGGCCUCCAGUAGAUCUUCCUUAGAAGAUCUAUGUUCCUUACACUGCCUGGCACUGCUUGAGGGUGGGAAAAAACCCACUGUUCAGCAACAACCCUAAUCCUCACUCUGUAGGGAAGAAACAGCCAGGAGCGAGACAGUCCUCCAGUUCUGUGAGACUGAAACGGUGCGUGAUGAGUCAAACCCACUCCACCUGUCUUCACUAAUCACGAUCGCUUUAACGCUUGCGUGUCCUCCAAGCCGCAUGUAGCCCGAACAGCAAGAGCUUUGCCCGAGUUGUUUUCCAGGAACUUGGAGCUGCAGCUGCCUCUAGUUCAGCUUAGCCAGUUAAAACUGGAUAGGACCGGCGAUCCUCCAGCUGGGCACCUGCAGAGACCCGUAGAACUCUCUUUGCUGUGAACUUCGGCGUCUCAGCGUUUUGGCUGGCUGUGCGACAGCAGGACAAGGCUGGUUUGAGCUGAUGAAGGACUCUGAAGAAGAAGCCCAGAUCACUGAUGAUUUAAUGGCCUCCUAAUAAAACCACUUUGGACAAAACCACAAAAAGUAAGAAAGAAAUCUUUUUAUUAUAUUUAAGCCACUGAAAUUUUAGGAUUUUUUAUACAGCAAUUAACCUACCCUGACUAAUAUAGACAUUAGUUCCUGAAAGUGAGGUACGGCUGUAGCAAACAGCUAAAAUAAAAUACAUG
Delphinapterus leucas (beluga whale) is the source of this 2021-nucleotide non-coding RNA. Lineage: Eukaryota; Metazoa; Chordata; Mammalia; Artiodactyla; Monodontidae. The record is from RefSeq and is a predicted model, not a curated record.